GUGGGGAAUCUUCCGCAAUGGACGAAAGUCUGAUGGAGCAACGCCGCGUGAGUGAUGAAGGUCUUCGGAUUGUAAAGCUCUGUUAAUCGGGACGAAAGAGCCUAGUGUGAAUAAUGCUAGGAAGUGACGGUACCGGAAUAGAAAGCCACGGCUAACUACGUGCCAGCAGCCGCGGUAAUACGUAGGUGGCAAGCGUUGUCCGGAAUUAUUGGGCGUAAAGCGCGCGCAGGCGGAUCUGCCAGUCUGUCAUAAAAGUUCGGGGCUUAACCCCGUGAUGGGAUGGAAACUACAGAUCUAGAGUAUCGGAGAGGAAAGUGGAAUUCCUAGUGUAGCGGUGAAAUGCGUAGAUAUUAGGAAGAACACCAGUGGCGAAGGCGACUUUCUGGACGAAAACUGACGCUGAGGCGCGAAAGCCAGGGGAGCGAACGGGAUUAGAUACCCCGGUAGUCC
Molecule: ribosomal RNA, 450 nt
Filed under: uncultured bacterium
Lineage: Bacteria
Description: partial 16S ribosomal RNA
Rfam family: Bacterial small subunit ribosomal RNA
Source: RNAcentral